Molecule: ribosomal RNA, 253 nt
Filed under: uncultured bacterium
Lineage: Bacteria
Description: partial 16S ribosomal RNA
Rfam family: Bacterial small subunit ribosomal RNA
Source: RNAcentral
UACGAGUACCCCAAGCGUUAUCCGGAAUCAUUGGGCGUAAAGGGUGUGUAGGCGGUCUCUUUAGUCUUCUGUCAAAAAUUUUGGCUCAACCAAAAGACUGCAGAGGAAACGGAGAGACUUGAGGGUGCGAGAGGUGAAUGGAACUCAUGGAGUAGGGGUGAAAUCCGUUGAUAUCAUGGGGAACACCGAAAGCGAAGGCAAUUCACUGGAGCAUUUCUGACGCUGAGACACGAAAGCGUGGGUAGCGAACUGG